GAAUCUCCACCACCACCAGUUUACAAAUACAAGUCACCUCCGCCGCCACCUUAUUACUACAAAUCCCCACCGCCACCUCCAUACAAGUACGAGUCUCCACCUCCUCCUCCGUACAAGUAUGAAUCUCCACCACCACCACCUUAUUACUACAAAUCCCCCCCGCCACCUCCAUACAAGUACGAGUCACCGCCUCCUCCUCCGUACAAGUAUGAAUCUCCACCACCGCCAGUUUACAAAUACAAGUCACCCCCGCCACCACCUUAUUACUACAAAUCCCCGCCACCACCUCCAUACAAGUACGAGUCUCCACCUCCUCCUCCGUACAAGUAUGAAUCUCCACCACCACCUCCUUAUUACUACAAAUCCCCGCCGCCACCUCCCUACAAGUAUGAAUCCCCGCCACCACCUCCCUACAAAUACGAGUCACCUCCACCACCACCUUACUAUUACAAAUCUCCUCCACCGCCUCCAUACAAGUAUGAGUCGCCACCACCACCAGUCUACAAAUACGAGUCUCCGCCACCCCCAGUUUACAAAUACAAGUCGCCCCCUCCACCUUAUUACUACAAGUCUCCGCCACCCCCGCCAUACAAAUAUGAAUCCCCACCUCCACCUCCCUACAAGUAUGAAUCGCCUCCUCCUCCACCUUACUACUACAAGUCCCCUCCACCACCUCCCUACAAAUAUGAAUCCCCGCCACCACCUCCCUAUAAAUACGAGUCACCACCACCACCACCUUACUAUUACAAAUCUCCUCCACCGCCUCCAUACAAGUAUGAGUCGCCACCACCACCUCCCUACAAAUACGAGUCACCACCACCACCACCUUACAAGUAUGAAUCCCCACCUCCACCUCCGUACAAGUAUGAAUCACCUCCACCGCCUCCAUACAAGUAUGAAUCCCCUCCUCCACCUCCCUACAAAUACGAGUCACCACCCCCACCACCUUAUUACUACAAAUCGCCUCCGCCACCGGAGUAUCAAUCACCUCCUUACGUGUAUAAAUCUCCACCUCCACCCUCGUACUAGGAGCUAAGGAGCAUUUGAUUUUCAGGUGAGAAAUCUAUAGAACCACAGUUCCUAGUUUUAACAAGUUUUCAAAUUCAU
RNAcentral lists this long non-coding RNA (1107 nucleotides) under Selaginella moellendorffii. RNAcentral's name for it is "long non-coding RNA (SMOE_LNC002368)". Lineage: Eukaryota; Viridiplantae; Streptophyta; Lycopodiopsida; Selaginellales; Selaginellaceae. The record is from RNAcentral.